Molecule: long non-coding RNA, 1697 nt
Organism: Camelus dromedarius (Arabian camel)
Lineage: Eukaryota; Metazoa; Chordata; Mammalia; Artiodactyla; Camelidae
Exons: 6
Source: RefSeq, a predicted model, not a curated record
CAGUUCCUUGUGAAAUAAGGCAGGGUACUAAGCAGUUUUUACCUUGAGAAAUCUGGAGGAAAAAAGAUAAGAUUUUAAGUCAUUUCAACUGUGUUCUUCUCCACUCUCCUCCAUGUUCAUUCUUGUAAUUAUGUUUUCCUUUCUGGCAAGCCUGUUUUGUUUUAUUAUUUUGCUAUUUUUGUUCCUGACUUUGAAGAUGUGCUUCAGAAUGCUAAAAUCCUGAUGAAUUAGGCUUGGAGAACUUGAAUGUCGUGGCUCACCUUCUACAAACUGUGUUCUUCAACUUUUAGAUCUCAGCUGAGUUCCGGAGAAGCAGGAGCUGGGACUGGUACACAGCUACCACACAGGAAGGCCAGAAGCACCCAUCCUUUAUUUAGAGAAAACCCCAAAGUGGAUUAUAUGCAUCAGUUAGGAGCUCAGGCUAAGGCAAUCCCAGUUCACCAUUCAAGACAUUUUCUACUCUUGAAAACUUCAAAGGACAUUAUGAAAAGCAAAACCUUGAGAUCCAUCUCUGCCUCAAAUCAAGCCAGGAAAAAAGGAAUAUCUGGAACAGGACUCACCAAGCCAGCAACUCCAGCCUCCAACGGGGAAAGCUGCGUGGCUCCCUGAGAAGUCUACAGACCCCUCAGAAACUGAUGCCUGUGUUCAGUUUCUGAAUGCUACGGUGGUGGGAACAAGGAAGCAAAACUGACUAUGUUUGAAAGAGUUCAGGAAGCAGAGGGAAAAUGCAGAGGGGCACAGGCCCUCGGGCAGCGGAUUACAGUCACAUUCUCAGAAAAAGAGCGAGAGCUUUGGAAGAUAAGAUGGAGGAACUACAGAGACAGCAGGAGGAGGAACUAUUCCAACUGAGUCAAGACAACUAUAUUCUUAGAGCCAAGUGAAGUAGCAUUGAAGAAUCAAACAAGAAACAAAGGUGGUUGCCUUUUGAGGAAACAUCAGCUCCUGCCACAGAGAAAAAAUAAAAUCAAAAAAAAGAAAUAGGAACAAGAGACACUUGUUCAGGGACGUCAACAGAGAGUUCCAGAAACAAGCCUGUCUACCCACUGUGGCUCCAUCCAGUUUCCUCACCACAGAAAGAUGGGCCAAAAACAGAAAAAAAGAAGGUACAAAUGUCACCAAGUCCAAACUCAUUCUGCUCACUGCACAAAAGCCAGUAAGUUAGGAGACAGGGUCUUGGGGCAAUGAACAGUUACUUUAUUUAGAAAGCCGUUCAGAAAGCUGGCAGACCAAGAAGAUGGCAGAUUAAGGUCCUGGAGAACCAUCUUCCCCAAGUCAGAAUUCAGGCUCCUUUCCUACUUGCUUGGUUGUUGCAAACUUCUUGACAUAAGAGUUCUUUGUUCUUGGAAUCCUGUGUUCUUGCAGCUGUCCACGUAGGUCAGAUCAUGGUGCCCCUGUAAACUUCCAACAAAAGAAAUGUUAUUUUGUAUUCUGCAACUUGUUAUCUUUAUGUGAAUGGAAAUGUGUUAAUGUCCUUAAAAGUCAGAGCCUUGGGAACAGGCUCUCCUCUAUAUUUCAGGCUAUUGGCAACAUUGUUCCACAAAAGGUGCAGAGAUGGCAAGACUGAGCCUAGAAAACAGAGCACAGGGUUAAAUUCAAAGGAACAGAUCUAAUAUGGAGUCGGGUUCUUUUUUAUCACACAAACAGCCCCCCUGGCCUUUCCAUCCCUGAUGUGCAAAAUCAGGACGUGGUUUUUCCUG